CGUCCCACAUGGUCAGAGGAACGGGCCACACCUCUCUGCACAGGUGUAUAAAGUAUGUGGUCGUCCCAGUAGACAGCCUGCCCAGUCAGUCAGCGGCCAGCAGGACGGAGCGUCCAUCCCUCUCAAAGCCUUCAUCAGAGAAACAGGAAACAGCCUGGCUACCAGGAGGAAAGAGUUCCUGAACAGUCUGCGUUUGUACCGUACCUUCUACGGUGGCCUGGCGGACCAGCUGUGUGUGAACCAGCUGGCCUCCGCCGAUGGACUGGCCUGCUGGAACGGAGCCGACGUUGUCAAGAGGUACGUGACCCCCCCCCGCAGCACCAUGGAGCGAUUCUGAAGUUCAAAAGGAGUAACUACGAGCCCUACACUGUUCCCAUCUAGCAUCUCUUUCUGUUUGUCUGUCUCCUCCUCCGUUCCCCUGGGGGACCUGUCCUCUCCUCGUUCCCCUG
Molecule: long non-coding RNA, 449 nt
Organism: Oncorhynchus tshawytscha (Chinook salmon)
Lineage: Eukaryota; Metazoa; Chordata; Actinopteri; Salmoniformes; Salmonidae
Exons: 3
Source: RefSeq, a predicted model, not a curated record